This 988-nucleotide unclassified non-coding RNA is filed under the name Hevea brasiliensis (rubber tree). The record is from RNAcentral. Lineage: Eukaryota; Viridiplantae; Streptophyta; Magnoliopsida; Malpighiales; Euphorbiaceae.
AAGGGUGACCCAAUGCACAAAGCAAAAGGGAGGAAACAAGACUCAAAUAAGGAUGAUGCUCAAAACCAAGGAAAAUUACUCAAAUUUGACAUUUUUUCCACUAUAUAAUGUAACAGAAACAGGGAACCCCAAUAACAUAGAAGAGUUCUAGCAAAAACUAAUACAAGAAUCCUAGAUUCCUAGUAGACUCCAAAUAGUCCUCCAAGAAUUGAAAGCAGACUAAUAGGGGGCAGUUAAAUGGCUUUGCUUUUUGCACCCAUUAAAAGAGGCUCUUCAACAUUUCUAGGCAACACCUUUAAUGGCAUUAGCAUUUGAGGGCUGCAAUUCAACAUCUAAAAUCAGGCUUGUCAAAUUGAAAUCUCAAAGAUUUGUGAAAUGUGCUAAAAAGACUGGUAGGGAGAAACAUUAGAACAAUGGGGUAGAAUGAUAAAUAGGGGGACACUAAGGAGGGAAAUUUGGUCUAAUUGCUGCCACAAUAAUUGUGAGUCGUGGCAUUAGCCAUUUAGGUUGCGGAAAUAGCCCCACCAUUUAUAAAAAGUACGAACCCAUUCAGAUACAUUUAUGUAUGCAAACACACAGUAACGCAAAUCAAUUUGAAGUUCAAGGAACUAUAAGUUUUUCAAAUUUCAAUCAACUGAGCUUUCACUAAAUUACAUCUGAGGUUAGCCAUAAAAAGUAAACUUUGGACUCCUAAUUGUCCAGUUUCUGUUUAUAAGAGUCACACCAAGAAUAAAUCAAAAGCAAGCUUAACAGUAUGCUUCGUAUACAGGAAAUCACUAUAGGGGAAAUUUUUCUGAAAUGACACCUAAGUAUUGCAUGUUAAACUUCCUUUUUCAUGAUAUUUGUCAUCUUGACAGAAAAUAAACUGAAAAUUGCUAACAGCAAAUAAGAGAACAGCCACCAUAUCUCAUUAUAAGACUCAAUGUUUGAUCAUUCAAAGUAUUUAUGUAGACAAAGAAACAACAUAUCUAAACAGCAGAAGACAAAC